UGUUUAGAAACCAGUAAUAGA
Caenorhabditis elegans is the source of this 21-nucleotide non-coding RNA. Lineage: Eukaryota; Metazoa; Nematoda; Chromadorea; Rhabditida; Rhabditidae. The record is from Ensembl.